CUGACGCUCAUGGACGAAAGCCAGGGGUAGCGAAAGGGAUUAGAUACCCCUGUAGUCCUGGCCGUAAACGAUGAACACUAGGUGUCGGGGGAAUCGACCCCCUCGGUGUCGUAGCCAACGCGUUAAGUGUUCCGCCUGGGGAGUACGCACGCAAGUGUGAAACUCAAAGGAAUUGACGGGGGCCCGCACAAGCGGUGGAGUAUGUGGUUUAAUUCGAUGCAACGCGAAGAACCUUACCAGGGUUUGACAUCCUGCGAAUCUCUUGGAAACGAGAGAGUGCCCUCGGGAACGCAGUGACAGGUGGUGCAUGGCUGUCGUCAGCUCGUGUCGUGAGAUGUUGGGUUAAGUCCCGCAACGAGCGCAACCCACGUCUUUAGUUGCCAGCAUUUAGUUGGGCACUCUAGAGAGACCGCCGGUGAUAAACCGGAGGAAGGUGUGGAUGACGUCAAGUCAUCAUGCCCCUUACAUCCUGGGCUACACACGUACUACAAUGCUACGGACAAAGAGCAGCAAGUUCGCGAGGACAAGCAAAUCUCAUAAACCGUGGCUCAGUUCAGAUCGUAGGCUGCAACUCGCCUACGUGAAGGAGGAAUCGCUAGUAAUCGCAGGUCAGCAUACUGCGGUGAAUACGUUCCCGGGCCUUGUACACACCGCCCGUCACACCAUGGAAGUUGGCCACGCCCGAAGCCGUUACUCCAACCCUUGUGGAGGAGGACGUCGAAGGUGGGGCUGAUGACUGGGGUGAAGUCGUAACAAGGUAGCCGUACCGGAAGGUGCGGCUG
Molecule: ribosomal RNA, 782 nt
Filed under: marine metagenome
Description: bacterial SSU rRNA
Rfam family: Bacterial small subunit ribosomal RNA
Source: RNAcentral